GGAAGGAGAAGUCGUAACAAGGUUUUCGUAGGUGAACCUGCGGAAAGAUCAUUAUCAAAACCUGCCAAGCAACACGACCUGCGAACUUGUUUAAACACCUGGARACGUACCGGGGCGGGCCUUGGUCCCCCCCGUUGCUGGCCACACGCCGGGACAAUGCUCCGGGCCUCUCRCCGGGCGACGGGUGCAUUGCCUGGCCUAACAACGAACCCUGGCGUAGACUACGCCAAGGAACKWGAACAAGAGAGCACGCCCCCGGGGCCCCGUUCCACGGGGUACUGGGGUGGKGGUGUCUUCUAUGAAUUAAAAUGACUCUCGGCAWCGAAUAUCUCGKCUCUCGCAUCGAUGAAGAAMGUAGCGAAAUGCGAUACUUGCUGUGAAUUGCAGAAUCCCGUGACCCAUCGAGUUUUUGAACGCAAGUUGCGCCCGAAGCCAUUAGGCCAAGGGCACGCCUKCCUGGGCGUCUCACAUCACUCCGCCACCCUCCCCCGCGRCYCCAUCGGGUCCCGGGUAUCUGGGGGCGCAGAUUAGCACGCCAGUGCGCUGUCAGCCCAAACCGAGUCCCCAGCAAUUGAUGUCACGACAAGUGGUGGGGCAGUAAAUCGUUGUGYCUUGUCGUGUCCUCCUUCGCCAGUUGUCUCUUCCGUGACCUUGAGUACCAUUGUCACGGCGCUUUGAUCGCGACCCCAGGUCAGGCAGGACUACCCGCUGAGUUUAAGCAUAUCAUAAAGCGGAGG
Molecule: unclassified non-coding RNA, 737 nt
Filed under: Pterostyrax psilophyllus
Lineage: Eukaryota; Viridiplantae; Streptophyta; Magnoliopsida; Ericales; Styracaceae
Description: partial contains small subunit ribosomal RNA, internal transcribed spacer 1, 5.8S ribosomal RNA, internal transcribed spacer 2, and large subunit ribosomal RNA
Source: RNAcentral